This 1536-nucleotide long non-coding RNA is filed under the name Macaca fascicularis (crab-eating macaque). RNAcentral's name for it is "lncRNA (ENSMFAG00000055489.1)". Lineage: Eukaryota; Metazoa; Chordata; Mammalia; Primates; Cercopithecidae. The record is from RNAcentral.
CCCAGCUACUCAGGAGGCUGAUGCAGGAGCCCAGGAGUCCAAGGCUAUUGUGAGCUAUGAUCACCCUUAUGAAUAGCCACUGCACUCCAGCCUGGGCAACAUAGGGGGAUCCCACCUCAGAAAAUAAAUGUAAAUCCUCGCCAUUAGCUAUGACUAUAAAUAUCUAAAGCACUUCUUUAAAAAUAAUCAUUAUUCCUGUAUCUUUUAUAUAUGUAAACCUAACAAUGUGGGUUAUGAUUACUUUUAGGCACAUAAUACAUGAAUAGGUGACAGACAGAACAUCUGGUACCAAAGUAUUCUUCAUCUCAUCCACCAGAGGGUACUUGAGAGUUAUUCAAUAAAAGAACUUGGGAGAGCAAAUUUAAAAAUUUAAACUAGAAACCACAGUCCUAGAGUGAUAUAUACACACACACUUCUGGUACAUUAUUAACCAAAUUCAUUUUGCUAAAAGAUAGCCACAUUUUUUUCCCACUAAAUUAUAGAAUUCGGAUACUCUUCCAUUUGCUUUUUGUUUAUUUGUUUUUAAUUUUUUUUUCUUUUUUUCAGAGACAGGGUCUCACUGUGUGUUGCCCAGGCAGGUCUCGAACUUCUGGACUCAAGUGAUCCUCCUGCCUUGGCCUUCCAAAGUGUAAUCCCAAAAUGCCAGGAUUACAGGUAUGAACUGCCAUGCCUGGCCAAGUUAGAAUCUCAUUUGUAUUCUUAUACUCACUUUUGAAAAUUUUUUGAAUCUAACCUAGGUUGGGGGUGGGAGUACUGUGUAUUUCACAGACUAUAUUAAAUGUGUUUUUCUAGUGAAAAUUGUGGUACUUACAUUUACUAGAAAAGGCUAGUAAUUUUAUUACUGUAAUUCCAUAAUUGUUUCUCCAUUGUAUAAUUAGCAUAUCAUUUAAUUGGAUUCACCUGAAUAGUCUCAUGAACGAUGCAGCAUGUUAUUUUUCUUUCAUUAGGUUCAUCUUCCACUUUUCUUUCCCAUUCCAUGUUCCAGUAAGAGCAAAUUACUGUACUGUACAUUAAAACUAAAAAUUAGGCCAGCUGUGGUGGCUCACGCCUAUAAUCCCAGCACUUUGGGAGGCUGUGGUGGGCAGAUCACAAAGUCAGGAGUUUGAGACCAGCCUGACUAACAUGGUGAAAUCCCGUUUUUACUAAAAAUACAAAAGUUAACCAGGCAUGGUAGUGUGCACCUGUAAUCCCAGCUACUCAGGAGGCUGAGACAGGAGAAUCACUUGGACCCGGGAGGCGGAGUUUGCAGUGAGCUGAGAUCACACCACUGCAUUCCAGCCUGGGCGACAGAACAAGACUCCGUCUUAAAAACAAAACAAAACACACACACACACACACACACACACAAUAGAAAUAGCCCAAAUGACCAACAGCAGGGAAUAGGAAAGCCAACAGUGGUGUUAUGGCAAUGGAUAUUUAUAUUGAUCUAUUAAUAAUACUAUGUAUACAUCAUAACACUGAUGCAAUAGCAGCUACACAGGAGGCUGAGGUGGGAGGAUCUCUUGAGGCCAGGAGUUCGAGACUGCAGUGAGCUAU